AUGCGGGGCACGGCCGGACUGUCGCUGCCGCUGCUGGUACUGGUGGUGGUGGUGGCGCUUCUGCAUGCGGCAAGCGGAGCUGGAGCGGCGGUCGGCGGAGGAUGCGAUCGGAGAUGUGGGGGCAUGGAGCUGCCGUACCCGUUCGGCUUCUCCAGCGGCUGCACGAUACGGCUCGGAUGCGACGCCGGCAUCGGCGUCGCGUGGCUCGGGGGCGCGCUCGAGCUGGGACUGCUCGUGCGCAACGUCACGCCGCGCUCGAUCAUCAUCGACCUGCAACCCGACUGCUCCCGCCGUUUCAAUACGUCCGUCGCGGCGCUCUUCUCGGACAGCUACGCGCCCGCCUCGCGGAACAUGCUCGUCGUUAGCUCGUUCGACGACUGUGCUAAUAUCAACAACUGCAGCAUCACCCCUGACAGCUUCAUAAACAGAACCUCGUCUCACUGCAGCGCCAACGAAUCCAUCAGAUGCAUCCAAGCCCCCUUGCGAAGCGGCCACCAUUUUCUGAAUAGAAGCGAGCUGCUCCGCUCGAACUGCACCGGGCUGGUGUCGUCGAUAAGCUACAGCGAUGCAAUGGGGCCAGCACUGAUGCUGGGCGCGCUGCAGCUCGACUGGUGGGUGCCGGGGCGGUGCCGCUGCUCACCCGGAGCAAAUUGCACCCAGUUCACCGCGCCGACCACGGGUCAGGAGGCGUUCCGCUGCGAAUGCCAGGAUGGGUUGGAGGGCGACGGCUUCAUCUACGGCACCGGUUGCUGGUUGACAGGCACAGCGUCCAGCGGCCAACAACGAGUGCCGUUCGGGGUCUUCGCCGCGGUUACCGCCAUCGCCGUGGUGCUACUUGUUCUCAGCAUAUCGGCUUGCCUCAUCUUCCGCCGCUGCCGAAGGCGCAAUACCAUGAAGAAAACCAAACAACCGCUGAAAGCGGUGAGUGCACUCUUCCGCGGAGAACUCGUGGACGACGAGCUCGGCCAAGGAGCUGCCGGACCCCGGCGAUUUUCAUACGACGACCUCGCUGCUGCAACUGGUAACUUCUCCGAGGACAGGGCGCUCGGAAGGGGAGGCUUUGGGUCAGUUUACCGAGGGUUCCUGAGCGACAUGAACCGUGAAGUGGCCGUCAAGAGGGUGUCCGGGACCUCUCGACAAGGAUGGAAGGAGUUCGUCUCUGAGGUGAGCAUCAUUAGCCGGCUGAGGCACAGGAACCUUGUGCAGCUCAUUGGCUAGUGCCAUGGCGGCGGCGACGAGCUCCUCCUCGUGUACGAUUUGAUGCAUAAUGGCAGCCUUGACACCCAUCUCUACAGACAAGACUCGGUGCUCAUGUGGCCGACCAGUUUGGUGCUACAAGUUUCAAAAUAUGGUUUUUUGUCAGGUAACUUGCGUUUAGAUGCAGAUACAGUCAGCCCUGCUAAUUGUGCAUGUACGUAUUCGCCGCUGCAGCGGUACGAGAUAGUGCUCGGAGUAGGUUCUGCACUUCUCUACUUGCAUCAAGACACGGAGCAGAGAGUAGUGCACAGGGACAUCAAGCCAAGCAACAUCAUGCUAGACACUUACUUCACCGCCAAGCUCGGCGACUUCGGGCUCGCAAGGCUCAUCAACGAUGGCCGGAGAUCGCACACGACUGGCAUAGCCGGCACCAUGGGGUACAUGGAUCCGGAGUGCGUGCUAGCUGGCAGGGCGAGCGUCGAGUCGGACAUGUACAGCUUCGGGAUGGUCCUCCUAGAGGUGGCUUGUGGACGGCGACCAGCUCUGGUCCAGGACGACGGCGACGUCAUCCACCUGAUGCAGUGGGUGUGUGACUUGUAUGGCGGAGGAAAGACCCUCUCAGCCGCCGAUGCACGACUCAAGGAGGAGUUCAAUGGCCUGGAGAUGGAGCGUGUGAAGGUUGUGGGGUUGUGGUGCGCGCACCCUGACCGUGGCAUGCGGCCGUCCAUCAGACAAGCCGUGAACGUGCUGCGGUUUGAAGCGUCGUCGCCAACCCUCCCGGCCAGGAUGCUGGUGGCAACCUAUGGGCCGCCGACUAUUCCUUUUAGCUCCGGAACGUUGGUCCCGAGCAGCGUCAGUGGCCGAUGA
Molecule: ribosomal RNA, 2064 nt
Filed under: Triticum aestivum (bread wheat)
Lineage: Eukaryota; Viridiplantae; Streptophyta; Magnoliopsida; Poales; Poaceae
Description: partial small subunit ribosomal RNA
Source: RNAcentral